RNAcentral lists this ribosomal RNA (893 nucleotides) under Colletotrichum cliviicola. RNAcentral describes it as "LSU rRNA". It matches the Rfam family "Eukaryotic large subunit ribosomal RNA", at positions 38 to 961 of the family's 3401-position model. Lineage: Eukaryota; Fungi; Ascomycota; Sordariomycetes; Glomerellales; Glomerellaceae. The record is from RNAcentral.
GCAUAUCAAUAAGCGGAGGAAAAGAAACCAACAGGGGAUUGCCCCAGUAACGGCGAGUGAAGCGGCAACAGCUCAAAUUUGAAAUCUGGCCCCGGGCCCGAGUUGUAAUUUGCAGAGGAUGCUUUUGGCGAGGUGCCUUCCGAGUUCCCUGGAACGGGACGCCAUAGAGGGUGAGAGCCCCGUACGGUUGGACACCAAGUCUUUGUAAAGCUCCUUCGACGAGUCGAGUAGUUUGGGAAUGCUGCUCAAAAUGGGAGGUAUAUUUCUUCUAAAGCUAAAUAUUGGCCAGAGACCGAUAGCGCACAAGUAGAGUGAUCGAAAGAUGAAAAGCACUUUGAAAAGAGGGUUAAACAGCACGUGAAAUUGUUAAAAGGGAAGCGCUUAUGACCAGACUUGCGCCCGGUGAAUCACCCAGCUCUCGCGGCUGGGGCACUUUGCCGGCUCAGGCCAGCAUCAGCUCGCUGUCGGGGACAAAAGCUUCGGGAACGUAGCUCUCUUCGGGGAGUGUUAUAGCCCGUUGCAUAAUACCCUUCGGCGGGCUGAGGUACGCGCUCCGCAAGGAUGCUGGCGUAAUGGUCAUCAGCGACCCGUCUUGAAACACGGACCAAGGAGUCAACCUUAUGUGCGAGUGUUUGGGUGUUAAACCCCUACGCGUAAUGAAAGUGAACGCAGGUGAGAGCUUCGGCGCAUCAUCGACCGAUCCUGAUGUUCUCGGAUGGAUUUGAGUAAGAGCAUAUAGGGUUGGACCCGAAAGAAGGUGAACUAUGCGUGUAUAGGGUGAAGCCAGAGGAAACUCUGGUGGAGGCUCGCAGCGGUUCUGACGUGCAAAUCGAUCGUCAAAUAUGCGCAUGGGGGCGAAAGACUAAUCGAACCUUCUAGUAGCUGGUUCCGCG